AUCCAUUCGCAGUGGCAAUUUCAUAGUCUAUGAAGUUGUACUGAGACGUGAUUAUUGCUGUUUGAAAACUUAACCCAUAUACCCCGCCGAGAUGACUUGAAAUAUAGUCAGGCAAUUUUUGUUAGCCUCAUGGGAGA
Molecule: small nuclear RNA, 137 nt
Organism: Perca fluviatilis (European perch)
Lineage: Eukaryota; Metazoa; Chordata; Actinopteri; Perciformes; Percidae
Product: U4 spliceosomal RNA
Exons: 1
Source: RefSeq, a predicted model, not a curated record